UGCUAUCUGCAGUCGAGCGACUGAUUAGAAGCUUGCUUCUAUGACGUUAGCGGCGGACGGGUGAGUAACACGUGGGCAACCUGCCUGUAAGACUGGGAUAACUUCGGGAAACCGAAGCUAAUACCGGAUAGGAUCUUCUCCUUCAUGGGAGAUGAUUGAAAGAUGGUUUCGGCUAUCACUUACAGAUGGGCCCGCGGUGCAUUAGCUAGUUGGUGAGGUAACGGCUCACCAAGGCAACGAUGCAUAGCCGACCUGAGAGGGUGAUCGGCCACACUGGGACUGAGACACGGCCCAGACUCCUACGGGAGGCAGCAGUAGGGAAUCUUCCGCAAUGGACGAAAGUCUGACGGAGCAACGCCGCGUGAGUGAUGAAGGCUUUCGGGUCGUAAAACUCUGUUGUUAGGGAAGAACAAGUACGAGAGUAACUGCUCGUACCUUGACGGUACCUAACCAGAAAGCCACGGCUAACUAUGUGCCAGCAGCCGCGGUAAUACGUAGGUGGCAAGCGUUAUCCGGAAUUAUUGGGCGUAAAGCGCGCGCAGGCGGUUUCUUAAGUCUGAUGUGAAAGCCCACGGCUCAACCGUGGAGGGUCAUUGGAAACUGGGGAACUUGAGUGCAGAAGAGAAAAGCGGAAUUCCACGUGUAGCGGUGAAAUGCGUAGAGAUGUGGAGGAACACCAGUGGCGAAGGCGGCUUUUUGGUCUGUAACUGACGCUGAGGCGCGAAAGCGUGGGGAGCAAACAGGAUUAGAUACCCUGGUAGUCCACCCCGUAAACGAUGAGUGCUAAGUGUUAGAGGGUUUCCCCCCUUUAGUGCUGCAGCUAACGCAUUAAGCACUCCGCCUGGGGAGU
RNAcentral lists this ribosomal RNA (850 nucleotides) under uncultured bacterium. RNAcentral describes it as "bacterial SSU rRNA". It matches the Rfam family "Bacterial small subunit ribosomal RNA", at positions 49 to 881 of the family's 1533-position model. The record is from RNAcentral.